Molecule: ribosomal RNA, 436 nt
Filed under: Trapelia obtegens
Lineage: Eukaryota; Fungi; Ascomycota; Lecanoromycetes; Trapeliales; Trapeliaceae
Description: eukaryotic LSU rRNA
Rfam family: Eukaryotic large subunit ribosomal RNA
Source: RNAcentral
ACCCGCUGAACUUAAGCAUAUCAAUAAGCGGAGGAAAAGAAACCAACAGGGAUUGCCUCAGUAACGGCGAGUGAAGCGGCAACAGCUCAAAUUUGAAAUCUGGCCUCACGGUCCGAGUUGUAAUUUGCAGAGGACGUCUCGGGUGCGACGCCGGUCUAAGUUCCUUGGAACAGGACGUCAUAGAGGGUGAGAAUCCCGUACGUGACCGGCGAUCAACCCCAUACGAGGCCCCUUCGACGAGUCGAGUUGUUUGGGAAUGCAGCUCUAAAUGGGUGGUAAAUUUCAUCUAAAGCUAAAUACCGGCCAGAGACCGAUAGCGCACAAGUAGAGUGAUCGAAAGAUGAAAAGCACUUUGGAAAGAGAGUUAAACAGUACGUGAAAUUGUUGAAAGGGAAGCGCUUGCAACCAGACUUGCUCGUGGGUGAUCAGCCGCCCU